Long non-coding RNA from Capra hircus (goat), 404 nucleotides. RefSeq lists it as uncharacterized. The transcript has 2 exons. The record is from RefSeq and is a predicted model, not a curated record. Lineage: Eukaryota; Metazoa; Chordata; Mammalia; Artiodactyla; Bovidae.
GCCCCCGGGUGUCUCACGCAGCUGCUGUGCCUCCUGCAGCAAGGCUUCGAUAGGAGCAUGCUGGGGACCUUGGCUGGGGCCAACAGCCUCAGGAACUUCACCUCCCGCUUCUGAGAGGGGCCGCCCGCACGUUCAGCUUGCAGACGUGAUCCGACCAGACCUGAGCAGACCCGGGCCUUGCUGCAGGCGUCUGUCCACCUGCAGUGUUUGGAGAUGUUCAACAGCCACACGAGCACACUGGGACACUGCGGUGGAUGAAAAUAUUUUUAGAUUCUUUCUUUUCCUUGGGGAACUGACAGGCACUGGGGGUGGGGGAGGGGAGCGGGGCUUUCUUGAGUUAAGGGGGCUUAUGUCUUGAUGUAAAUACUUCUUUCGCUGAGAAACGGUAUAUAUACACAUGUAUA